CUCGCGCUCUCCCCUCUCCAUGUUUGGCAUGAGGGCUUGGAGGGGAGGGGGCGAAAUGGGCGCGAAUUCGCCACCAUUCCCUCACAUUGACUUUUUUUCUUUUUUUGACUGAGAGAAAUAUAAUAACACUGAAAGUUUCCCUCCCAUCUGGGUUUCGUGAGGAAAACAUGCCUCUGAAUGCCGGCUGCUGGGGCCCACGCAGGUGUGGAGCAGUGGCAUAGCAAGACUAAACAUACUCAGCUCCUUCAACCGUUCCUCAUAAGGCUUGUUUUCCAAGCUUGUCUCUACUUUCAUGAGCAUGCCCUCUUCAAAAUUACCAAGACAACAGUUCAACAAUUAAAACCCAUCAUCCUUGACAUGCUAGCUGAGGCCGAAAAGAGUUGGAAGCCAACAACCCCUGGAGAAACACAGCUUUCCUUAUCCCUGCAUUAAAGCAACAUUUCAUAGCCUUGUAAAUAGAAUUAUGAAGCAUAUUAGACCACUUAUGUUUUUACAAGGUCAGUUAUUCAUACACCUAUUUCAUUCAUUUGUGAUACAGUUGAGUGAUACAAUUGUAUCCCAGUUAGCAGAAUCUCAGUUUGGUUGCCUGGAGACAACUCUGGCUACCGCAUCAUAAGUACCCUAAAACCUGAGAUUCAAUAGGUAGGACUUGGUGAUGUCACAAUAACAGGACUUGUGAUGACACAUAGUGCCAACUAUAUUUUUUCUCUCCUUUUUAUACUCAUACUUGACAUUGCUUAGGAAACCUAGUAGCAUAUUGUGUAUUAUUAUAGUGAUGUUUCCCCCCUAAUUAGAUAACUUUAAAAUGCAGUAUGUAACAUAUGUAGAUUUCUUUCCCUAGGAGUUAAUGUUUUCUAUACAGGCAAGCAGAGAGGCAAGUAUUUAAGUAUUUACAUCUCAUGGGUAAAUGGGAGUGAAUGUGCAUUUGCACAAUCUGUGGCUUGUGUCCUUAAGUCUUUUUUUUUAGUGCAACAUCUUAUUCCUGUGCACAGCAUUAGAAAUCAAUAUCUAAUAUUUCUAAAUAUGAAUACAAAAGUCUAGCAAGCAAACAAGCACUUGGCACCGGCCUUCCUGUAAGACGUUAAAUCACCAGGUGACGUACAGACUGUGGGUUUGGUGACGUCACUCUGUGUUGCCAGUGUAAAUGUUUAUGUGCUGUUACUCUGGUUUCAACAAUAGAAAGAGGAAGAAAUCAAUAUUUAUUUGAAUUGCAGGUUCUACUCACUAUUAUGGCUUGGGCUGAGCUUGUCAGAUACAGGAGUUGCUUUUGGUUCUUUUGCUCCCAGGCUCCAUGGAAUAAGGACGUAAAUGAAGCUCUCCAGGAAAACAGCUCCAGGCAAAAUGGAUGCUAUAGGAGAGAGACCUUUGCUUAUACAGUAGAUCUGUUUGGGUUAUUUCAUAUUUUGUAAGGUGCUGAGCCUAUGCCUUGGACUGGCAUAUGUCUUGUGGAGCUGUUUAGAUGACUCAUUUGAUGUUUUCACUCUGUUAUGAAGAAAGUUCUGCAAGUAAAGUUUUGAAUAAUA
Molecule: long non-coding RNA, 1523 nt
Organism: Podarcis raffonei (Aeolian wall lizard)
Lineage: Eukaryota; Metazoa; Chordata; Lepidosauria; Squamata; Lacertidae
Exons: 4
Source: RefSeq, a predicted model, not a curated record